GAUGAACGCUGGCGGCGUGCCUAAUACAUGCAAGUCGAGCGAACAGACGAGGAGCUUGCUUCUCUGACGUUAGCGGCGGACGGGUGAGUAACACGUGGAUAACCUACCUAUAAGACUGGGAUAACUUCGGGAAACCGGAGCUAAUACCGGAUAAUAUUUUGAACCGCAUGGUUCAAUAGUGAAAGACGGUCUUGCUGUCACUUAUAGAUGGAUCCGCGCUGCAUUAGCUAGUUGGUAAGGUAACGGCUUACCAAGGCAACGAUGCGUAGCCGACCUGAGAGGGUGAUCGGCCACACUGGAACUGAGACACGGUCCAGACUCCUACGGGAGGCAGCAGUAGGGAAUCUUACGCAAUGGGCGAAAGCCUGACGGAGCAACGCCGCGUGAGUGAUGAAGGUCUUCGGAUCGUAAAACUCUGUUAUUAGGGAAGAACAAAUGUGUAAGUAACUGUGCACAUCUUGACGGUACCUAAUCAGAAAGCCACGGCUAACUACGUG
This 497-nucleotide ribosomal RNA is filed under the name uncultured bacterium. RNAcentral's name for it is "partial 16S ribosomal RNA". It matches the Rfam family "Bacterial small subunit ribosomal RNA", at positions 28 to 507 of the family's 1533-position model. The record is from RNAcentral.